UAGAGUUUGAUCCUGGCUCAGGAUGAACGCUAGCGGCAGGCUUAACACAUGCAAGUCGAGGGGCAUCGGGAGGGAAGCUUGCUUUCCUUGCCGGCGACCGGCGCACGGGUGAGUAACACGUAUGCAACCUGCCCUCUUCAGGGGGACAACCUUCCGAAAGGGAGGCUAAUCCCGCGUAUAUCGGUUUCGGGCAUCCGAGAUCGAGGAAAGAUUCAUCGGAAGAGGAUGGGCAUGCGGCGCAUUAGCUUGACGGCGGGGUAACGGCCCACCGUGGCGACGAUGCGUAGGGGUUCUGAGAGGAAGGUCCCCCACACUGGUACUGAGACACGGACCAGACUCCUACGGGAGGCAGCAGUGAGGAAUAUUGGUCAAUGGGAGAGAUCCUGAACCAGCCAAGCCGCGUGAGGGAAGACGGCCCUAUGGGUUGUAAACCUCUUUUGUCGGAGAACAAAACCCGGGACGUGUCCCGGACUGCGUGUAUCCGAAGAAAAAGCAUCGGCUAACUCCGUGCCAGCAGCCGCGGUAAUACGGAGGAUGCGAGCGUUAUCCGGAUUUAUUGGGUUUAAAGGGUGCGUAGGCGGUCCGUUAAGUCAGCGGUAAAAUUGCGGGGCUCAACCCCGUCGAGCCGUUGAAACUGGCAGACUUGAGUUGGCGAGAAGUACGCGGAAUGCGCGGUGUAGCGGUGAAAUGCAUAGAUAUCGCGCAGAACUCCGAUUGCGAAGGCAGCGUACCGGCGCCGCACUGACGCUGAGGCACGAAAGCGUGGGGAUCGAACAGGAUUAGAUACCCUGGUA
Molecule: ribosomal RNA, 794 nt
Filed under: uncultured bacterium
Lineage: Bacteria
Description: bacterial SSU rRNA
Rfam family: Bacterial small subunit ribosomal RNA
Source: RNAcentral